Long non-coding RNA from Chelonoidis abingdonii (Abingdon island giant tortoise), 217 nucleotides. RefSeq lists it as uncharacterized. NCBI's taxonomy places the organism in Eukaryota, Metazoa, Chordata, Testudines, Testudinidae. The record is from RefSeq and is a predicted model, not a curated record.
GGAGCCACGGCGGUCGACUUGCCGCCAUGAGGACAGCCAGGUAUCAGACUGACAGCCUUGAAGACUGAUGUCAUCUGUGCACAGAAAGGGAACAGAAUUAGCAGCACCAGCGAAAGCUCCACCCACGCCACCCUACAAAGAUGCCUCAAGCCUGCCUUAGAGAAAUCACCCCGUGCAAAUGUUUCUAUGCUGCCCCCAUCAUCUCCAUCCCAGAGGU